Molecule: non-coding RNA, 92 nt
Organism: Lactifluus subvellereus
Lineage: Eukaryota; Fungi; Basidiomycota; Agaricomycetes; Russulales; Russulaceae
Source: the annotation of a GenBank genome assembly
GGUUCAGUGGUCUAAUGGUUAUGAUUUCUGUCUCACAUCACGUCAGGAGGUUUGCUCACAGAAGGUUCCCGGUUCGAUCCUGGGCUGAAUCA